Molecule: RNase P RNA, 367 nt
Filed under: Polyangiaceae bacterium
Lineage: Bacteria; Pseudomonadati; Myxococcota; Polyangiales; Polyangiaceae
Description: RNase P RNA component class A
Rfam family: Bacterial RNase P class A
About the family: Ribonuclease P (RNase P) is a ubiquitous endoribonuclease, found in archaea, bacteria and eukarya as well as chloroplasts and mitochondria. Its best characterised activity is the generation of mature 5'-ends of tRNAs by cleaving the 5'-leader elements of precursor-tRNAs.
Source: RNAcentral
GAAGACGAUCGGGCAGUCGCUGCUUUCGGGCAGAGGAAAGUCCGGGCUCCGCAGAGCAGGAUGCCGGGUAACGCCCGGUGGCGGCAACGCCGAGGAAAGUGCCACAGAGAACAGUCCGCCGAUGCGUCAGCGUCGGUCAGGGUGAAACGGUGGGGUAAGAGCCCACCGCGCGGUCGGCAACGGCCGCGGCACGGCAAACCCCAUCCGGAGCAAGACCGCAUAGAGGAGCGCUCGAGGGCUGCUCGCCCAAGCUCCCGGGUAGGUUGCUCGAGCCGCGAGGCAACUCGCGGCCUAGAGGAAUGAUUGCCAGUCCCGCGGGGGCGACCCCACGGAACCCACAGAACCCGGCUUAGGAUCGUCGACGGCC